UUCAGCCUAAACGUUUUGCCAGGAACACU
This 29-nucleotide non-coding RNA is filed under the name Homo sapiens (human). Lineage: Eukaryota; Metazoa; Chordata; Mammalia; Primates; Hominidae. The record is from RNAcentral.